CAGUAGCCACGGGAAUACGGAGGAUCCAAGCGUUAUCCGGAAUCAUUGGGUUUAAAGGGUCCGUAGGCGGUCUUGUAAGUCAGUGGUGAAAGCCCAUCGCUCAACGGUGGAACGGCCAUUGAUACUGCAGGACUUGAAUUAUUGGGAAGUAACUAGAAUAUGUAGUGUAGCGGUGAAAUGCUUAGAGAUUACAUGGAAUACCAAUUGCGAAGGAAGGUUACUACCAAUUGAUUGACGCUGAUGGACGAAAGCGUGGGUAGCGAACAGGAUUAGAUACCCGCGUAGUCCCUGUCUCUUAUAC
Molecule: ribosomal RNA, 301 nt
Filed under: uncultured bacterium
Lineage: Bacteria
Description: partial 16S ribosomal RNA
Rfam family: Bacterial small subunit ribosomal RNA
Source: RNAcentral